This 71-nucleotide transfer RNA is filed under the name Camelus bactrianus (Bactrian camel). It matches the Rfam family "tRNA". Rfam says of the family: Transfer RNA (tRNA) molecules are approximately 80 nucleotides in length. Their secondary structure includes four short double-helical elements and three loops (D, anti-codon, and T loops). The record is from Rfam by way of RNAcentral. RNAcentral also lists the same sequence under 2 other names. Lineage: Eukaryota; Metazoa; Chordata; Mammalia; Artiodactyla; Camelidae.
GAUGGUAUAGCUUAGUGGUAGAGUGUGUGCUUAGAAUGCACAAGGUCCUAGGUUCAAUCCCAGUAACUCCA